AUGACGAAAAGAAAGAAUUUGGAAAAAUGUCUGUUGGAUGUGACUGUCCUAUGGAUAACAGUUGCAGGACUGUGUUCUGGUGACUUCGUGUCACAGAUUUCAAAUGUUCAAACUGCUGAAGAAGGACAAAACGUAACGCUGAACUGCACAUACAACACCUCAAGCAGUAACACUCUUUCUCUGCAGUGGUACCAGCACUAUCCCACCGCAGCCCCUCGCUACCUUCUUCAGAGAUAUUCUACAGGUGGUGGAGAUGACAACGGAGUAAAAGACGAUCGAUUUUCUGCUGAACUGAACCAUCCUAAGCGGUUUAUACAGUUAACACUGCGAGAAGUAAAACUGUCUGACUCUGCCAUGUACUACUGUGGUCUGAGCACCACAGUGCAUCAGGGUUGUUACUUGGCGUGA
Molecule: non-coding RNA, 408 nt
Organism: Polypterus senegalus (gray bichir)
Lineage: Eukaryota; Metazoa; Chordata; Cladistia; Polypteriformes; Polypteridae
Source: the annotation of a RefSeq genome assembly